AGCAGCGGCGCGCACUCCGGCUACGGAGCGAGACUGCAAGCGCGGCGGCGCGUCAGCCCCGCCAGCCGGUCCGCGGUCGCCGGCUCCGUGCGCGCCUCCCCGCGGGCCCCCGGGCGUCCGUGCCCGGCGCGGGUCCGGUGUCACAGCCCCGGGCUCCCGCACUCACGGUGAGCUCUUGCGGCCACUGCGUCCAGCCCCGGAGCGCCGCGCCGCAGACCCACUGCGCUGCGACGUCCGCCCCGGACUAGGAUCUUAGUUCCCCGACCGGGGAUUGAACCCGCGCCCUCGGCAAUGAAAGCAAGGAGUCCUAACCACUGGACCGGCAGGGAAUUCCCAGGAAAGGUCUGUCAACCUGGACCAGCAUCCAGCCACUAUCCUCUGAGCCACCAAAGCUUAUACACCCCUUUGUUAUUAAAACCCAGCAUAGGGCUUCCAGUGACGCAGUGGUUAAGAAUCUGCCUGCCAAUGCAGGGGACACGGGUUCGCCUGGUCUGGGAAGAUCCCACAUGCCGCGGAGCAACUAAGCCCGUGAGCCACAACUACUGAGCCUGCGCGUCUGGAGCCUGUGCUGCGCAACCGGAGAGGCCAUGACAGUGAGAGGCCCGCGCACCGCGAUGAA
Molecule: long non-coding RNA, 619 nt
Organism: Balaenoptera acutorostrata (minke whale)
Lineage: Eukaryota; Metazoa; Chordata; Mammalia; Artiodactyla; Balaenopteridae
Exons: 3
Source: RefSeq, a predicted model, not a curated record